RNAcentral lists this ribosomal RNA (1551 nucleotides) under Bacillus pumilus. Its description in RNAcentral is "bacterial SSU rRNA". It matches the Rfam family "Bacterial small subunit ribosomal RNA". The record is from RNAcentral. Lineage: Bacteria; Bacillati; Bacillota; Bacilli; Caryophanales; Bacillaceae.
UUUUCGGAGAGUUUGAUCCUGGCUCAGGACGAACGCUGGCGGCGUGCCUAAUACAUGCAAGUCGAGCGAACAGAAGGGAGCUUGCUCCCGGAUGUUAGCGGCGGACGGGUGAGUAACACGUGGGUAACCUGCCUGUAAGACUGGGAUAACUCCGGGAAACCGGAGCUAAUACCGGAUAGUUCCUUGAACCGCAUGGUUCAAGGAUGAAAGACGGUUUCGGCUGUCACUUACAGAUGGACCCGCGGCGCAUUAGCUAGUUGGUGGGGUAAUGGCUCACCAAGGCGACGAUGCGUAGCCGACCUGAGAGGGUGAUCGGCCACACUGGGACUGAGACACGGCCCAGACUCCUACGGGAGGCAGCAGUAGGGAAUCUUCCGCAAUGGACGAAAGUCUGACGGAGCAACGCCGCGUGAGUGAUGAAGGUUUUCGGAUCGUAAAGCUCUGUUGUUAGGGAAGAACAAGUGCGAGAGUAACUGCUCGCACCUUGACGGUACCUAACCAGAAAGCCACGGCUAACUACGUGCCAGCAGCCGCGGUAAUACGUAGGUGGCAAGCGUUGUCCGGAAUUAUUGGGCGUAAAGGGCUCGCAGGCGGUUUCUUAAGUCUGAUGUGAAAGCCCCCGGCUCAACCGGGGAGGGUCAUUGGAAACUGGGAAACUUGAGUGCAGAAGAGGAGAGUGGAAUUCCACGUGUAGCGGUGAAAUGCGUAGAGAUGUGGAGGAACACCAGUGGCGAAGGCGACUCUCUGGUCUGUAACUGACGCUGAGGAGCGAAAGCGUGGGGAGCGAACAGGAUUAGAUACCCUGGUAGUCCACGCCGUAAACGAUGAGUGCUAAGUGUUAGGGGGUUUCCGCCCCUUAGUGCUGCAGCUAACGCAUUAAGCACUCCGCCUGGGGAGUACGGUCGCAAGACUGAAACUCAAAGGAAUUGACGGGGGCCCGCACAAGCGGUGGAGCAUGUGGUUUAAUUCGAAGCAACGCGAAGAACCUUACCAGGUCUUGACAUCCUUUGACAACCCUAGAGAUAGGGCUUUCCCUUCGGGGACAGAGUGACAGGUGGUGCAUGGUUGUCGUCAGCUCGUGUCGUGAGAUGUUGGGUUAAGUCCCGCAACGAGCGCAACCCUUGAUCUUAGUUGCCAGCAUUCAGUUGGGCACUCUAAGGUGACUGCCGGUGACAAACCGGAGGAAGGUGGGGAUGACGUCAAAUCAUCAUGCCCCUUAUGACCUGGGCUACACACGUGCUACAAUGGACAGAACAAAGGGCUGCGAGACCGCAAGGUUUAGCCAAUCCCAUAAAUCUGUUCUCAGUUCGGAUCGCAGUCUGCAACUCGACUGCGUGAAGCUGGAAUCGCUAGUAAUCGCGGAUCAGCAUGCCGCGGUGAAUACGUUCCCGGGCCUUGUACACACCGCCCGUCACACCACGAGAGUUUGCAACACCCGAAGUCGGUGAGGUAACCUUUAUGGAGCCAGCCGCCGAAGGUGGGGCAGAUGAUUGGGGUGAAGUCGUAACAAGGUAGCCGUAUCGGAAGGUGCGGCUGGAUCACCUCCUUUCU